UACGGAGGGGGCUAGCGUUGUUCGGAAUUACUGGGCGUAAAGCGCACGUAGGCGGAUUGGAAAGUUGGGGGUGAAAUCCCGGGGCUCAACCUCGGAACUGCCUCCAAAACUAUCAGUCUAGAGUUCGAGAGAGGUGAGUGGAAUUCCGAGUGUAGAGGUGAAAUUCGUAGAUAUUCGGAGGAACACCAGUGGCGAAGGCGGCUCACUGGCUCGAUACUGACGCUGAGGUGCGAAAGCGUGGGGAGCAAACAGG
This 253-nucleotide ribosomal RNA is filed under the name uncultured bacterium. RNAcentral describes it as "partial 16S ribosomal RNA". It matches the Rfam family "Bacterial small subunit ribosomal RNA", at positions 524 to 776 of the family's 1533-position model. The record is from RNAcentral.